UACGUAGGGGGCAAGUGUUAUCCGGAUUUACUGGGUGUAAAGGGAGCGUAGACGGACUGGCAAGUCUGAUGUGAAAGGCGGGGGCUCAACCCCUGGACUGCAUUGGAAACUGUUAGUCUUGAGUGCCGGAGAGGUAAGCGGAAUUCCUAGUGUAGCGGUGAAAUGCGUAGAUAUUAGGAGGAACACCAGUGGCGAAGGCGGCUUACUGGACGGUAACUGACGUUGAGGCUCGAAAGCGUGGGGAGCAAACAGG
Molecule: ribosomal RNA, 253 nt
Filed under: Blautia obeum
Lineage: Bacteria; Bacillati; Bacillota; Clostridia; Lachnospirales; Lachnospiraceae
Description: partial 16S ribosomal RNA
Rfam family: Bacterial small subunit ribosomal RNA
Source: RNAcentral